This 399-nucleotide ribosomal RNA is filed under the name uncultured bacterium. RNAcentral's name for it is "partial 16S ribosomal RNA". It matches the Rfam family "Bacterial small subunit ribosomal RNA", at positions 28 to 526 of the family's 1533-position model. The record is from RNAcentral.
GACGAACGCUGGCGGCGUGCUUAACACAUGCAAGUCGAACGAAGUGGGAACGGGUGAGUAAUACGUGGGUAACCUCCCUCCUUUUUGGGAUAAUCCUUGGAAACGGGGUCUAAACCGAAUAGAUGGGCUAGCGGCCUAUCAGCUUGUUGGUGGGGGGAUGGCCUACCAAGGCGGUGACGGGUAGCCGGUCUGAGGGGAGGAACGGCCACAUUGGGACUGGGACACGGCCCAGACUCCUACGGGGGGCAGCAGUGGGGAAUCUUCCGCAAUUGACGAAAGUCUGACGGAGCAACGCCGCGUGAGUGAUGACGGCCUUCGGGUUGUAAAGCUCUGUUAAUCGGGACGCGGUACCGGAAUAGAAAGCCACGGCUAACUACGUGCCAGCAGCCGCGGUAAUUC